This 443-nucleotide ribosomal RNA is filed under the name uncultured bacterium. RNAcentral's name for it is "partial 16S ribosomal RNA". It matches the Rfam family "Bacterial small subunit ribosomal RNA", at positions 338 to 795 of the family's 1533-position model. The record is from RNAcentral.
CCUACGGGAGGCAGCAGUGGGGAAUAUUGGACAAUGGGGGGAACCCUGAUCCAGCGACGCCGCGUGAGUGAAGAAGUAUUUCGGUAUGUAAAGCUCUAUCAGCAGGGAAGAAAGAAAUGACGGUACCUGACUAAGAAGCCCCGGCUAACUACGUGCCAGCAGCCGCGGUAAUACGUAGGGGGCAAGCGUUAUCCGGAUUUACUGGGUGUAAAGGGAGCGUAGACGGCGAAGCAAGUCUGAAGUGAAAGGCGGGGGCGCAACCCCCGGACUGCUUUGGAAACUGUAUGGCUGGAGUGCAGGAGAGGUAAGUGGAAUUCCUAGUGUAGCGGUGAAAUGCGUAGAUAUUAGGAGGAACACCAGUGGCGAAGGCGGCUUACUGGACUGUAACUGACGUUGAGGCUCGAAAGUGUGGGGAGCAAACAGGAUUAGAUACCCCAGUAGUC